This 454-nucleotide ribosomal RNA is filed under the name uncultured bacterium. Its description in RNAcentral is "bacterial SSU rRNA". It matches the Rfam family "Bacterial small subunit ribosomal RNA", at positions 340 to 786 of the family's 1533-position model. The record is from RNAcentral.
UACGGAAGGCAGCAGUGGGGAAUAUUGCACAAUGGGCGCAAGCCUGAUGCAGCCAUGCCGCGUGUAUGAAGAAGGCCUUCGGGUUGUAAAGUACUUUCAGCGGGGAGGAAGGGAGUAAAGUUAAUACCUUUGCUCAUUGACGUUACCCGCAGAAGAAGCACCGGCUAACUCCGUGCCAGCAGCCGCGGUAAUACGGAGGGUGCAAGCGUUAAUCGGAAUUACUGGGCGUAAAGCGCACGCAGGCGGUUUUGUUAAGUCAGAUGUGAAAUCCCCGGGCUCAACCUGGGAACUGCAUCUGAUACUGGCAAGCUUGAGUCUCGUAGAGGGGGUAGAAUUCCAGGUGUAGCGGUGAAAUGCGUAGAGAUCUGGAGGAAUACCGGUGGCGAAGGCGGCCCCUGGGACGAGACUGACGCUCAGGUGCGAAAGCGUGGGGAGCAAACAGGAUUAGGAUACC